Molecule: ribosomal RNA, 880 nt
Filed under: uncultured bacterium
Lineage: Bacteria
Description: bacterial SSU rRNA
Rfam family: Bacterial small subunit ribosomal RNA
Source: RNAcentral
GUUAACGCUGGCGGCGUGCUUAACACAUGCAAGUCGAACGAUGAAGCCCAUCUUGCUGGGUGGAAAAGUGGCGAACCGGUUGAGUAACACGUGAGUAAACCUGCCCAUCACUCUGGGAUAAGCGCUGGAAACGGCGUCUAAUACUGGAAUAUGAACAGCGACCGCAUGUUCAGUUGUUGAAAGAUUUAUUGGUGAUGGAUGGACUCGCGGCCUAUCAGCUAGUUGGUUGAGGUAAUGGCUCACCAAGGCGACGACGGGUAGCCGGCCUGAGAGGGUGACCGGCCACACUGGGACUGAGACACGGCCCAGACUCCUACGGGAGGCAGCAGUGGGGAAUAUUGUCACAAUGGGCGCAAGCCUGAUGCAGCAACGCCGCGUGAGGGAUGACGGCCUUCGGGUUGUAAACCUCUUUUAGUAGGGAAGAAGCGCAAGUGACGGUACCUGCAGAAAAAGCACCGGCUAACUACGUGCCACAGCCGCGGUAAUACGUAGGGUGCAACGUUGUCCGGAAUUAUUGGGCGUAAAGAGCUCGUAGGCGGCUUGUCGCGUCUGCUGUGAAAACCCGAGGCUCAACCUCGGGCUUGCAGUGGGUACGGCAGGCUAGAGUGCGGUAGGGGAGAUUGAGAAUUCCUGGUGUAGCGGUGGAAUGCGCAGAUAUCAUGGAGGAACACCAAUGGCCGAAGGCGGAUUCUCUGGACGGUUUCCUGACGCUAAGACGCGAAAGCGUGGGGAGCAAACAGGAUUAGAUACCCUGGUAGUCCACGCCGUAAACGAUGGGUGCUGGACGUUAGGCGAGCUUGCUCCGUCAGUGUCGCAGCUAACGCGUUAAGCACCCCGCCUGGGGAGUUCGGCCGCAAGGUUGAAACUCAAAUGAAUACGG